AUAAUUUCCUGGUAUGGGAGACAGCAUGAUCAUGAAGGUAUUUUUUUCCAGUGCAAGGCUUAUCCACUGCACUCUGGAUGUGCUGACCCCUGCAAUUUCCCCAAAUGUGGGAAACUUGACUGCAUAAUUUGUGGUAGUGGGGGACUGCAUACAUGCUCUGCCCUG
Molecule: small nuclear RNA, 165 nt
Organism: Sorex fumeus (smoky shrew)
Lineage: Eukaryota; Metazoa; Chordata; Mammalia; Eulipotyphla; Soricidae
Product: U1 spliceosomal RNA
Exons: 1
Source: RefSeq, a predicted model, not a curated record